GUCAGUUACGAUAUGGCUGAUAAGUCAGUAGAUAUAGUGACAUAUAAUAUUAUAUAACAUUAAGAUAUCCACAAAACAAAAAAUAAACAUGACAUGGGGCAAAGUUACUAGGAUUCUGUUCAGCCUUCCAACAAAUUAAUAAAUGUUAAACGAUGCACCCAAAAUAGACAACAAGUAGUCAAUCUAACCUGAGCGAAAAUAGUACAGUCUUUUUUUAUCUAUGCAUUCUUAAUCAGCAUAGAUCCACUUUCCAGAUGCAAUAAAUGUCAAGAAAACAUUAAC
This is a non-coding RNA of Cinara cedri, 282 nucleotides long. NCBI's taxonomy places the organism in Eukaryota, Metazoa, Arthropoda, Insecta, Hemiptera, Aphididae. The record is from the annotation of a GenBank genome assembly.